RNAcentral lists this ribosomal RNA (369 nucleotides) under Triticum aestivum (bread wheat). Its description in RNAcentral is "partial small subunit ribosomal RNA". Lineage: Eukaryota; Viridiplantae; Streptophyta; Magnoliopsida; Poales; Poaceae. The record is from RNAcentral.
AUGUUAAGCACUAACCCGGCAGCUUGUACGAAUGCGAUGCUGGUCACAAACCAAAAAUCUAUCUUCCUCAGGCCGGAGACGAAGCCGCCGAGGAGGACGGCGGUGGCCCACAAAAGCGCCAGGGCCCCGACGCCUUUCACGCCCAUUCGGAUGUACGCCAUAGUGACCGCAUACUUGUUGAUGAUCCUCACUUCUGGCCGCCGUUCAAGCUCCUCCUCCGAAAAAGCGCCAAGCUCAUCUCUUAAGAGCUCACGCUCCUCAUUGCGGUUUCCAAAUGCUCCGCCCCUCCGUCGUACUCCGGUCGACAUUAUCCUUCGUGGUAUGGCAACGGUGGAGCGGCAGAUCUCUGGUUUCUCUACUGCUUGCUAG